This 407-nucleotide ribosomal RNA is filed under the name uncultured bacterium. RNAcentral's name for it is "partial 16S ribosomal RNA". It matches the Rfam family "Bacterial small subunit ribosomal RNA", at positions 29 to 526 of the family's 1533-position model. The record is from RNAcentral.
AUUGAACGCUGGCGGCAGGCCUAACACCUGCAAGUCGAGCGGAGCGGCGGACGGGUGAGUAAUGCCUAGGAAUCUGCCUGGUAGUGGGGGAUAACGUCCGGAAACGGGCGCUAAUACCGCAUACUAUCAGAUGAGCCUAGGUCGGAUUGGCUAGUUGGUGGGGUAAAGGCCUACCAAGGCGACGAUCCGGAACUGGUCUGAGAGGAUGAUCAGUGCAACUGGAACUGAGACACGGUCCAGACGCGUACGGGAGGCAGCAGUGGGGAAUAUUGGACAAUGGGCGAAAGCCGGAUGCAGCCAUGCCGAGUGUGUGAAGAAGGUCUUCGGAUUGUAAAGCACUUUAAGUUGGGAGGCGUUACCAUCAGAAUAAGAACCGGGUAACGUCGUGCCAGCAGCCGCGGUAAUAC